AGAUAUUAAGGCACACACCUCUUCCAAACCCUAGACAACCCAAUCCGACCUACUUUCAACACCGGCCACCAGGACGGAAAGUCUAAUGUAAGCUAAUCUAGCAGAAAAACCUCUCGUGAGAUCUAGCAACUACAAACAGACAUCCACCCAACCUUAUUUCCCACACCAGCAAUAGAACUAAAUAACUCCACCAGGAACUCUUCUUCCCAGACUAAGAGAAAACGCCUUCACCUAAUAUUCC
RNAcentral lists this long non-coding RNA (241 nucleotides) under Lathyrus oleraceus (garden pea). Its description in RNAcentral is "Pisum sativum (pea) long non-coding RNA (PSAT_LNC040131)". The record is from RNAcentral. Lineage: Eukaryota; Viridiplantae; Streptophyta; Magnoliopsida; Fabales; Fabaceae.